CCAAGGGAACGGGCUUGG
RNAcentral lists this non-coding RNA (18 nucleotides) under Arabidopsis thaliana (thale cress). The record is from RNAcentral. RNAcentral also lists the same sequence under 1 other name. Lineage: Eukaryota; Viridiplantae; Streptophyta; Magnoliopsida; Brassicales; Brassicaceae.